RNAcentral lists this ribosomal RNA (428 nucleotides) under uncultured bacterium. Its description in RNAcentral is "partial 16S ribosomal RNA". It matches the Rfam family "Bacterial small subunit ribosomal RNA", at positions 354 to 796 of the family's 1533-position model. The record is from RNAcentral.
GUAGGGAAUAUUGCGCAAUGGGGGAAACCCUGACGCAGCGACGCCGCGUGAGUGAUGAAGGCCUUCGGGUCGUAAAGCUCUGUUGCAGGGGAAUAAAAAAAUGAAGGUACCCUGUGAGGAAGGAUCGGCUAACUUCGUGCCAGCAGCCGCGGUAAGACGAGGGAUCCUAGCGUUGCUCGGAAUCAUUGGGCGUAAAGAGGGCGUAGGUGGCUUGGUAAGUCAGGUGUGAAAGCCCAGGGCUCAACCCUGGAAGUGCAUUUGAUACUGCUGAGCUUGAGUGUCGGAGAGGUUACCGGAAUUCCUGGUGUAGUGGUGAAAUACGUAGAUAUCAGGUGGAACACCGGAGGCGAAGGCGGGUAACUGGACGAACACUGACACUGAGGCCCGAAAGCGUGGGGAUCAAACAGGAUUAGAAACCCUGGUAGUCC